CUACCGUGCCAGCAGCCGCGGUAAUACGGAGGGUGCGAGCGUUAAUCGGAAUUACUGGGCGUAAAGACGCAUGCAGGUGGUUUGUUAAGUCAGAUGUGAAAGACCCGGGGCGUCAACCUCGGAAUAGCAUUUGAAACUGGCAGACUAGAGUACUGUAGAGGGGGGGUAGGAAUUUCAGGUGUAGCGGUGAAAUGCGUAGAGAUCUGAAGGAAUACCGGUGGCGAAGGCGGCCCCCUCGGACAGAUACUGACACUCAGAUGCGAAAGCGUGGGGAGCAAACAGGAUUAGAUACCCUGGUAG
Molecule: ribosomal RNA, 300 nt
Filed under: uncultured bacterium
Lineage: Bacteria
Description: bacterial SSU rRNA
Rfam family: Bacterial small subunit ribosomal RNA
Source: RNAcentral